GCAACGAGCGCAACCCUCGCCCUUAGUUGCCAGCAUUAGUUGGGCGACUCUAAGGGGACUGCCGGUGAUAAGCCGAGAGGAAGGUGGGGAUGACGUCAAGUCCUCAUGGCCCUUACGGGCUGGGCUACACACGUGCUACAAUGGUGGUGACAGUGGGCAGCGAGCACGCGAGUGUGAGCUAAUCUCCAAAAGCCAUCUCAGUUCGGAUUGCACUCUGCAACUCGAGUGCAUGAAGUUGGAAUCGCUAGUAAUCGCGGAUCAGCAUGCCGCGGUGAAUACGUUCCCGGGCCUU
Molecule: ribosomal RNA, 292 nt
Filed under: uncultured Rhizobiaceae bacterium
Lineage: Bacteria; Pseudomonadati; Pseudomonadota; Alphaproteobacteria; Hyphomicrobiales; Rhizobiaceae
Description: partial 16S ribosomal RNA
Rfam family: Bacterial small subunit ribosomal RNA
Source: RNAcentral